GACGAACGCUGGCGGCGUGCCUAAUACAUGCAAGUAGAACGCUGAAGAGAGGAGCUUGCUCUUCUUGGAUGAGUUGCGAACGGGUGAGUAACGCGUAGGUAACCUGCCUGGUAGCGGGGGAUAACUAUUGGAAACGGUAGCUAAUACCGCAUAAUAGUAGAUGUUGCAUGACAUUUGCUUAAAAGGUGCAAUUGCAUCACUACCAGAUGGACCUGCGUUGUAUUAGCUAGUUGGUGAGGUAACGGCUCACCAAGGCAACGAUACAUAGCCGACCUGAGAGGGUGAUCGGCCACACUGGGACUGAGACACGGCCCAGACUCCUACGGGAGGCAGCAGUAGGGAAUCUUCGGCAAUGGACGGAAGUCUGACCGAGCAACGCCGCGUGAGUGAAGAAGGUUUUCGGAUCGUAAAGCUCUGUUGUAAGAGAAGAACGAGUGUGAGAGUGGAAAGUUCACACUGUGACGGUAUCUUACCAGAAAGGGACGGCUAACUACGUG
RNAcentral lists this ribosomal RNA (497 nucleotides) under uncultured bacterium. Its description in RNAcentral is "partial 16S ribosomal RNA". It matches the Rfam family "Bacterial small subunit ribosomal RNA", at positions 28 to 507 of the family's 1533-position model. The record is from RNAcentral.